AUAUUGGGCAAUGGGGGAAACCCUGACCCAGCAACGCCGCGUGAGGAAAGAAGGUUUNNNGAUCGNAAACUUCUGUCCUUGGUNAAGNGUUGUAGACGGUAGCCAAGGAGGAAGCCCCGGCUAACUACGUGCCAGCCGCCGCGGUAAUACGUAGGGGGCGAGCGUUGUCCGGAAUGAUUGGGCGUAAAGGGCGCGUAGGCGGUCUGUUAAGUCUGGAGUGAAAGUCCUGUUUUCAAGAUGGGAAUUGCUUUGGAUACUGAUGGGCUUGAGUGCAGGAGAGGUUAUCGGAAUUCCCGGUGUAGCGGUGAAAUGCGUAGAGAUCGGGAGGAACACCAGUGGCGAAGGCGGGUAACUGGACUGCAACUGACGCUGAGGCGCGAAAGUGUGGGGAGCAAAC
Molecule: ribosomal RNA, 397 nt
Filed under: uncultured bacterium
Lineage: Bacteria
Description: partial 16S ribosomal RNA
Rfam family: Bacterial small subunit ribosomal RNA
Source: RNAcentral